CGUUAAAUUCGGAAAAUCCGCACAUAUGUCGACACAUUGCUCUGGGUGCCUGUAAAGGUGGAGGAUGAGGACAUAUGGAGGCCUAAC
Molecule: small RNA, 87 nt
Filed under: Acinetobacter rudis CIP 110305
Lineage: Bacteria; Pseudomonadati; Pseudomonadota; Gammaproteobacteria; Moraxellales; Moraxellaceae
Description: Acinetobacter sp. G30 t44 RNA
Rfam family: t44 RNA
About the family: This family consists of a number of bacterial RNA genes of between 135 and 170 bases in length. The t44 gene is found between the map and rpsB genes in all species in the full alignment apart from Shigella flexneri.
Source: Rfam by way of RNAcentral